This 492-nucleotide ribosomal RNA is filed under the name uncultured bacterium. Its description in RNAcentral is "partial 16S ribosomal RNA". It matches the Rfam family "Bacterial small subunit ribosomal RNA", at positions 29 to 507 of the family's 1533-position model. The record is from RNAcentral.
AGUGAACGCUGGCGGUAGGCCUAACACAUGCAAGUCGAACGGCAGCACAGUAAGCGCUUGCUCUUACGGGUGGCGAGUGGCGGACGGGUGAGGCAUACAUCGGAAUCUACUUUUUCGUGGGGGAUAACGUAGGGCCACUUACGCUAAUACCGCAUAUGACCUACGGGUGAAAGCAGGGGAUCUUCGGACCUUGCGCGUUUGAAUGAGACGAUGUCGGAUUAGCUAGUUGGCGGGGUAAAGGCCCACCAAGGCGACGAUCCGUAGCUGGUCUGAGAGGAUGAUCAGCCACACUGGAACUGAGACACGGUCCAGACUCCUACGGGAGGCAGCAGUGGGGAAUAUUGGACAAUGGGCGCAAGCCUGACCCAGCCAUACCGCGUGGGUGAAGAAGGCCUUCGGGUCGUAAAGCCCUUUUGUUGGGAAAGAAAAGCAGUAGGUUAAUACCCCGCUGUUCUGACGGUACCCAAAGAAUAAGCACCGGCUAACUUCGUG